RNAcentral lists this ribosomal RNA (460 nucleotides) under uncultured bacterium. RNAcentral describes it as "partial 16S ribosomal RNA". It matches the Rfam family "Bacterial small subunit ribosomal RNA", at positions 338 to 795 of the family's 1533-position model. The record is from RNAcentral.
CCUACGGGAGGCAGCAGUGAGGAAUAUUGGUCAAUGGACGAGAGUCUGAACCAGCCAAGUAGCGUGAAGGAUGACUGCCCUAUGGGUUGUAAACUUCUUUUAUAUGGGAAUAAAAUGUUCCAAGUGUGGGAUUUUGUAUGUACCAUAUGAAUAAGGAUCGGCUAACUCAGUGCCAGCAGCCGCGGUAAUACGGAGGAGCCGAGCGUUAUCCGGAUUUAUUGGGUUUAAAGGGAGCGUAGGUGGAUUGUUAAGUCAGUUGUGAAAGUAUGCGGCUCAACCGUAAAAUUGCAGUUGAAACUGGCAGUCUUGAGUACAGUAGAGGUGGGCGGAAUUCGUGGUGUAGCGGUGAAAUGCUUAGAUAUCACGAAGAACUCCGAUUGCGAAGGCAGUUCACUGGACUGCAACUGACACUGAGGCUCGAAAGUGUGGGUAUCAAACAGGAUUAGAUACCCCAGUAGUC